AGCUCCAAUAGCGUAUAUUAAAGUUGUUGCAGUAAAAAAGCUCGUAGUCGGAUUUCGGGUCGGGCCGAGCGGUCUGCCGAUGGGUAUGCACUGUUCGGCGCGGCCUUCUUUCCGGAGACCGCGGCUACUCUUAACUGAGCGGGCGUGGGAGACGGAUCGUUUACUUUGAAAAAAUCAGAGUGUUUCAAGCAGGCAGCUCGCUCUUGCAUGGAUUAGCAUGGGAUAAUGAAAUAGGACUCUGGUGCUAUUUUGUUGGUUUCGAACACCGGAGUAAUGAUUAACAGGGACAGUCAGGGGCACUCGUAUUCCGUCGAGAGAGGUGAAAUUCUCAGACCAAUGGAAGACGAACCACUGCGAAAGCAUUUGCCAGGGAUGUUUUCACUGAUCAAGAACGAAAGUA
Molecule: ribosomal RNA, 400 nt
Filed under: phytoplankton environmental sample
Lineage: Eukaryota
Description: partial small subunit ribosomal RNA
Rfam family: Eukaryotic small subunit ribosomal RNA
Source: RNAcentral